This 72-nucleotide transfer RNA is filed under the name Loxodonta africana (African savanna elephant). It matches the Rfam family "tRNA". From Rfam's summary of the family: Transfer RNA (tRNA) molecules are approximately 80 nucleotides in length. The record is from Rfam by way of RNAcentral. Lineage: Eukaryota; Metazoa; Chordata; Mammalia; Proboscidea; Elephantidae.
GCCCUGGUGGCACAGUGGUUAAGUAUUUGGCCGCUAACUGAAAGGCUGGUGGUUUGAAUCCACCCAGCGGCU